ACUAGUCUUUUAAAUGGCAUCAAACCAAGUUAAAAAAAUAUUUUUUUCUUUGUUAGUUAUCAAAGUUUUUAUACAGAUUUUAUAUAAAUAGUCUCUCUACAUUUUUACAUGAACCUUUUAUUUUAGGAUAGUUUUAGAUUUUAGAAAAGUUAUGAAGACAUUGCAGAGUUCCCAGAUACCCCACACCCAGUUUCCCCUAUUAGUAAUCUCUUACAUUAGUAUGGUGCAUUUGUCACAAUUAACAAACCAAUAAUGAUGUAUUAUUAUUGACUGAAGUCCAUACUUCAUUCAUAUUUCCUUAGCUUUCACCUAAUGUCCUUUUUCUGUUCCAGGAUCCCAUCCAGGACACCUCGUUACAUUUAGUCAUCACAUCUCUUUAGGCUCCUCUUGGCUGUGACAGUUUCUCAGUAGUUCCUUAUCUUUGAAGACUUUGACAGCUUUGGGGAGGGCCGGUCAGGGAUUAGUAAUGUCCCUCACUCAAGAGUUGUUUGGUGUUUCUUCUCAUGGGCUUAGGGUUUUGGGGGAGGAAGACCAGAGUGGUCAAGUGUCCUUCUCAUCGCAUCAUGUCAAGGGCACAUGCCAUCAACGUGACUUAUGACUGUUGAUGUUGACCUUGGUCACCAGACUGGUGGGUGGCUGUCAGGUUCUCCACUGUAAAGUGACUCUUUCCCCCCAUCCAUGCUGUCCUCUUUGGAGGAAAGUUACUGUGCACAGCCCACACUGAAGGGGCGGGAGUGACGCUGCCCCUCCGUGAGGGCAGAGAUCUACAUCAACUAUUUGGAAUUCCUCUGCAUGGGAGAUGUGCCUAUUUCCCCCACUAUUUUAUUUAUUCAAUCGUUUAUUAUAUCGGUAUGGAGUCAUGGAUAUUUAUUUUAUACUUUGGGUUUUAAUUCCAUACCACUUAAUUUUCUUGCUCAGGUUGUUCCAAUUUUGGCUGUUUUGUUCCUCCACACAUUUUUACACACACGUUGUUACAAUGAAAGGAUUUGUCAUCUUUUCGCCCACUCAUGUAUUCCUCCACCCGACACUGACUGAGCACCUUUGAGGAGUGAGAACUGAAGAUACAGAGAUGAGGCUGACUCCUCACUCUGCUUUCUCCCCCUAACUGAUCUGCUCCCUCCUGCCUUCCCCUCUGAUACUCCUUGCUCAGUGCUCUCUUUCUCCCAUCCCUCCUGGCCCCACUUUUCCCAGGGACCAUUCUUAUAGCUCCUGGAAUGGAAACUCUGUCCCCCGCUCAAACACUCCCAGGGCGAAAACACAUCAUUGACCCAUCAUGCCUGGGAGUGGGGUCCCUGUCUUGCCUGAGGCCCAGAGGGAGUCAGGUCUCUGGUCAGGCCUUCUUGGCCCUCUGACCAUUCACAGGCAGUGCACAGAGAGAAAGAAAGGAGGAACAGCCUCUUAUUUCCCCACAGUUUCUUCUUGGACAUUCUCCGAGCUUUCCCCAGCAACAAUGAAGGACUGUGAGAGAGGGAAAGGUGUGGAGUGAUGGAGAUGGGGAGAAGUUGGGCAAAGAGAACAACUGAGACAGGGCUGAGGUCUCCAGGCCCAGAGACAGACCCUGCAGCUGGUGGCCCCCCAUGCAGGCCUGGCUGCCCCUCCCUCCCCUCUGCCCACACAGCCCGCCGCUCAGGCCAAUGGCUUCCCCAGUCAAGGUGUUGCUCUUUCUCAGUUCUUCCAACUGAGAGAGGCUGGGAAACUGAGGCAGAAUCAGGCCCAGCUUCUGGUUUUCUCUCCCCAGAGGGCUCCCCUUUUCUCCACUCCUCCAUUGUCAAAAACAGGCUGGGGAUGACAUGGCUUGGGGAGCCCCACACCUGCUCCUGCCACCUGUCCUCCUGGUGCUCCUGGCCUCAGGUGAGAUGGAGGGGGUGAAGGAGAGGGUGGGGCAGGGAGCAGGGUGACUCUGUGACCAGAGGGCUGGCUUUGAAGACCGUGUUCUGGAUGUGGGCAUCAGAAGUUGCUCCCUGUCCCCUUUCCCUGGCCCUGGGAGAGGUGUGGCUGGGUCCGGCCAGGGCCCUGAACUGAGAGCUUGUUAUCCAGGUUCCUGGGGAAAGACAGUCAUGCCUGAAGAGUUUCAUGAAGUGGCGGGGCAGACACUCUCCGUGCAGUGGCAGUACCCUCUCGAGGGAGGGCCCUACAACAGGAGAACUCGGUGUCAGCAGACAUCUUCACAUGAGUGUACCUGAUCAGUCACCAGCUCCAAGCUCCCGACAGCAGCUCAGGACUCUUGACACAUGAUCUGGGAUGCAUUGGGUGCUGGCCUCUUCAUCAUCACCAUGAUUCAGCGGACGGAGGAGGACUUCGGGUCCUAAUGGUCUAGAAGCUACAACUCUUCCAGGAACUUGGUCACUAUUCUCAGAAACAUCAGCCUGGUCUUGUCUCCGGAAGAGCUCCUUUCUUAAGGAAAUGCCCCCUCCCUCCCAGGCCUGCGGGAAAUGUCACUCACCCACUUUGUGUGACUCCAUCACCCCAGAUCCUACCAGGUCUUCUGCUCUGAUCCAAGGGGAGCGGGGGCCCUGGUCUCCAGAGAUGGGCUCUCACCUCUUCUCCACUUUGCCAGUCCUGGCCCCAACUAGUAGGAAGCCCCAACCACUUUCCUGUGUGGACCCCCACCUCACUCCUACCAAGUACAGGUAGGUCUGGGGUCUCAGUGUGGGGAGGGAAGAAGGGUGGCCAUGCAGCUUGGGUUAACCUCUGAUUCAGGGAUGGGAGCACCGGGGGGCCCGGCUCUGAGGGCUGAGCUCCUGGGGCCUGGGCUGGUGGGAAGCUAUGUUCAGGGCUUACUGGGCUCAAGACCCAGGGAGAUAAAUGUGCACAAUCUGAUCAGAUCACAAAGAUAGCCAUGGAUGGGCUGGGUGUCCCAAGGGGCAUGCCUGUCCUGGAAGACCCUGGACCUGCAUGUCCCAGCUCUGCCCCUCGCUUCCCACCAACUUGGGGAGAAACUGCCCCCCUUAGGGCACAGUACCAGUCUGGACUUCAGCUGGCCUGAGGGACCCUAAGGAGCUGCUCUGUCCCCUCUCCACUUUCUCAAGGGUUUUUGGGGCCAAUCCUAUUCUCUGUUCUGGUCUCCCAGGCAGCCACUGUCUUCUUUGUGUCCUCCUUAGUUCUGAUCAUUUCUCCAGAGGGGACCUCUGGCCCAUCUUCCCUCAAUGGCUCUGAGCACAGGUAAGUCAGGAAUGUUACCAGGAGGGAGGGUCCUGGGAAGGGAUGGCCAGAUAGCUCAUGUGGCCUCAGAGUCAGGGAGAGGGGGACCCAUGGAUUCUUUCCAAGACGGUUGAGGCACAGAGUCCUGCAGAGGAGUUCCCAGGGCUCAGAUACAAAGUUGGGGAGAGAGGAAUGUGGAAGAGGGUACAGGCCAUUAAUUUGGGAGGAACUAUAGUAAAGACAGUUAGACACAGAUUUCUGGAAUGAGAACAAAUGGGACCAAAACAGUGUGGGAGCUGAAGCCUGUGCUGAAAUAUGUUGAAGGGUGAGGGGUGAGUGUGGAGAGAGUGACCACAGACUGCGGCAGAUGGUGGCUAGAGACAAAGCAAGAAAUAGGUGAGAGGAAACUUGCUUCUGCUCUUCACUCUUGCAGUCAUGGGCCUUGAGACUUCCAUGGCUUCUCCUUCACCACAGAAAUGGGCUGCAGCAGCCUAGAUCGCAGGUACUCUAGGGACCACGAGGCACAGCCAGAGCAGUGGGAUAUUGGUGAAGAUAGAUGGCCAGCUGCCCAUGGGCAUUUGCUCCCUAACCACUUCCUUCUCCAAACUCCAAGGCAGGUGGGUUACACACUAGGGAGGAUCUCCCAAUGAGUUUAAAGGUGAAACCCUGACCAGAGGAUGGGAACAGCAGCAAUGUGGGUACAUUAGGGGGUUCCCUUAUGCUCUGCGGCUUAUCCUCCCACAUAAAACUCACUAGAUAGAAGGAUUUAGCCUUCCCUUCUUCCACAUUACCUGUUACCAGACUGAGUAUACGAUCAUCUCAGGGGAAUCUGAAUUCACAAGCCAAAAUAACUUGGCAUCUUUGGAGAACUAUUAUCUUAAAAGAAUGACAACACACCAAAUAAUAGAAAUGAUCUGAAGCAGAACUAUGGGAACUGACAGUACAGUAAUUCCAAGUGAAUAUGAUCAGGAGAGCUAGAGGGGUGAGGGGAGACAGAAACCUGAAUCAAGAGAAGAACCAGUAAACAGAGCUAAAUGGUCAUACUAGUUGUGACAAAUAUUAUAGCUGAAAUAAAGACCAUCACACGUGAUAAAUAAAGGAUAGAUGUGGCUGGAGAGCAAACUGGAAGAGAGGUUGAGGAAUUCUCCCGGAAAGUUCCUGGAAAGCAAGAAGUGAUUAAAAAAUCAAAGAGAAGUGAAGAGACAUGGAAAAAUACAUCUACUAGCAUACGGUCAUUAAGAAUCCCUGUGGGAGAGGGGCCGGCCCCGUGGCCGAGUGGUUAAGUUUGCGCGCUCCACUGCAGGCGGCCCAGUGUUUCGUUGGUUCGAAUCCCAGGCACGGACAUGGCACUGCUUAUCAAACCACGCUGAGGUGGCGGCCCACAUGCCACAACUAGAAGGACCUACAACGAAGAAUAUACAACUAUGUACUGAGGGGCUUUGGGGAGAAAAAGGAAAAAAAUAAAAUCUUAAAAAAAAAAAAAAGAAUCCCUGUGGGAGAGAAAAGAUGGAAAGGAGAAAUAUUUGGAGAAAAAAUUAAUAUUGAUCUCUCAGAAUUGUAGAAAAAGAUCUCAGAUCAAAAAGACUUGUACAUUGUCAAGAGAGGUAAACAGGACACACACACACACAGCCCUAGCCCCAUUAUGUGAAAUGUAAGACAAUCAAAGACAAGAAGAUUUUCAGAUCACCUAUAAAAGAACAAG
This is a long non-coding RNA of Equus caballus (horse), 4843 nucleotides long. The record is from Ensembl. Lineage: Eukaryota; Metazoa; Chordata; Mammalia; Perissodactyla; Equidae.